GGCGCCGUGGCAUAGUGGUUAGCGCGUCUGCCUGAAACCCAGAGGUAAUGGGUUCAAGGCUCGUCGCUGCUA
This is a non-coding RNA of Ciona intestinalis (vase tunicate), 72 nucleotides long. Lineage: Eukaryota; Metazoa; Chordata; Ascidiacea; Phlebobranchia; Cionidae. The record is from Rfam.